RNAcentral lists this ribosomal RNA (1507 nucleotides) under metagenome. RNAcentral describes it as "bacterial SSU rRNA". It matches the Rfam family "Bacterial small subunit ribosomal RNA". The record is from RNAcentral.
AGAGUUUGAUCCUGGCUCAGAACGAACGCUAGCGGCGCGUUUCAGGCAUGCAAGUUGAACGGUAACAGGGGAGCUUGCUCCCGCUGACGAGUGGCGCACGGGUGAGUAACGCGUAGGUAAUCUACCCAAAGGACUUCGAUAGCCCUACGAAAGUAGGAUUAAUAGGGGAUGUGGUGUAUUAUACAAAAGUAAAAUACAUUAAAGAAUGUUUUCGGACAUAUCACCUUUGGAUGGGCCUGCGUUGGAUUAGUUAGUUGGUGAGGUAACGGCUCACCAAGACUGCGAUCUAUAGCCGAGCUGAGAGGCUGAUCGGCCACAUUGGAACUGAGACACGGUCCAGACUCCUACGGGAGGCAGCAGCUAAGAAUCUUCCGCAAUGGACGAGAGUCUGACGGAGCGACGCCGCGUGAAUGAUGAAGGCCUUUUGGGUUGUAAAGUCCUUUUAUAGGGGACGAAUGUAUAAUGCAGGUUAUAUUGACGGUACCCUAAGAAUAAGGUCCGGCUAACUACGUGCCAGCAGCCGCGGUAAUACGUAGGGACCUAGCGUUGUUCGGAAUUAUUGGGCGUAAAGGGUACGUAGGCGGCUUGGUAAGUCAUAUGUGAAAGCCUUGGGCUCAACCUAAGGAUUGCGUGUGAUACUGUCAAGCUAGAGUUACUGAGAGGAAGGCGGAAUUUCUGGUGUAGGGGUGAAAUCUAUAGAUAUCAGAAAGAACAUCCGUUGCGAAGGCUGCCUUCUGGCAGUUAACUGACGCUGAGGUACGAAAGUUAGGGUAGCAAACAGGAUUAGAGACCCUGGUAGUCCUAACUGUAAACGUUGUAUACUAGGUGGUGGGAGCAUUGAUCCUUUCACUGCCGCAGCUAACGCAUUAAGUAUACCGCCUGGGGAGUAUGCCGGCAACGGUGAAACUCAAAGGAAUUGACGGGUCCCCGCACAAGCAGUGGAGCAUGUUGCUUAAUUCGAUGCUACGCGAGGAACCUUACCAGGUCUUGACAUAUAUUUGACGCUUAUGGAAACAUAAGUUCUUUUUUAAGCAGAUAUACAGGUGCUGCAUGGUUGUCGUCAGCUCGUGCCGUGAGGUGUUGGGUUAAGUCCCGCAACGAGCGCAACCCCUAUUCUUUGUUGCUAACGGGUAACGCUGAGCUCUCUAAGAAAACUGCCGGUGACAAACCGGAGGAAGGUGGGGAUGACGUCAAAUCAGCACGGCCUUUAUGACCUGGGCUGCAAACGUGCUACAAUGGGUGGUACAAAGAGUCGCUAAACCGCGAGGUCAAGCUAAUCUCAAAAAACCAUCCUAAGUUCGGAUUGGAGUCUGAAACCCGACUCUAUGAAGCUGGAAUUGCUAGUAAUCGCACAUCAUCAUGGUGCGGUGAAUACGUUCCCGGGGAUUGUACACACCGCCCGUCACAUCACCCGAGUUGAAUAUACCCGAAGUACCUGAGCUAACAGAUUUUCUGGGGCAAGGUCCUAAGGUAUGCUUGGCAAGGGGGAUGAAGUCGUAACAAGGUA